AUGUUCCCUCAAGCGUUCAUCCGAGACAAGACAGGUCGCAGUAUAAAAGCUUCCUGCAGGCUGGAGCCUAUUUUUGCUGGCUGCUAUUGAGGCUGUUUGGAGCUACUGCUGAGGUUCACAACUCUGUAGAAGAUAGUUGCCUGGCAGCGGGAAUGAUCAUCAGACUGGGAAGACUGACUCCAGGUUACUUUCGCCUCCUCCAGCGGCAGAUGUCCGGAGAGGUCAGGAUGCAGCCACCCAGCAGCUUCGUCAACCCGUUGGCCGCGACCUUGGCGGCAACCGGCUCCAGUGUGAGUCUCUACAGCGCCGCCAGGAUGCGACUGGAUCGGAAUGCCCAUUUCUGAUUGAUAGAGUUGAAGCACGGACCCUAGAAAUGUGACGGAAAGUGUUUUUGAGGGUUGAGAUUGUCGGAGAUUGAAGGUGGAAGUUCACUAUGAAGGUUUUUGUAAUGUCAAAGGAAUUUUAACAAGAAUGUUUUUUUUGUUUUUUUUAUAUGGACUACAGCACAUUCAGUGAACCGGUGUUUAUUCCUUCAAUAGAUAAGAUUACUACGUAUUUUGAGAAAAAUUCCACACGGUUUAAGCGCGUGGUUGAUAAUUAAAACAUACUUUUUACAGUAUUCCUUCAUGCUUGUUCUCACUGUUGAUUGUGCCAGUCAACAAAUAAACAUCCAAACAUGAUACUGCACUGGACAGCUGAUGAUCUUAAGAACUCACUUCAUUCUCACCCUUUACAACAGGGAUCUAAACUCAAUUCAUUAGGGGGCUACUGGCAAUAAGAGGAUCAAGGAUUCACCCAAAAAUAGACUAUUGUUGUUCAUUCACUUUGUCUAACUUGUUGAUAAAAGCACAAAAAGCUAUUAUCUGCUUGAGCAAUGUUCGUAAAAAUAAAACUGUAUGUAA
Long non-coding RNA from Corythoichthys intestinalis (scribbled pipefish), 902 nucleotides. RefSeq lists it as uncharacterized. Lineage: Eukaryota; Metazoa; Chordata; Actinopteri; Syngnathiformes; Syngnathidae. The transcript is spliced from 3 exons. The record is from RefSeq and is a predicted model, not a curated record.